RNAcentral lists this ribosomal RNA (567 nucleotides) under Saccharomyces cerevisiae (brewer's yeast). RNAcentral's name for it is "LSU rRNA". It matches the Rfam family "Eukaryotic large subunit ribosomal RNA", at positions 64 to 647 of the family's 3401-position model. The record is from RNAcentral. Lineage: Eukaryota; Fungi; Ascomycota; Saccharomycetes; Saccharomycetales; Saccharomycetaceae.
AACAACCGGGAUUGCUUAGUAACGGCGAGUGAAGCGGCAAAAGCUCAAAUUUGAAAUCUGGUACCUUCGGUGCCCGAGUUGUAAUUUGGAGAGGGCAACUUUGGGGCCGUUCCUUGUCUAUGUUCCUUGGAACAGGACGUCAUAGAGGGUGAGAAUCCCGUGUGGCGAGGAGUGCGGUUCUUUGUAAAGUGCCUUCGAAGAGUCGAGUUGUUUGGGAAUGCAGCUCUAAGUGGGUGGUAAAUUCCAUCUAAAGCUAAAUAUUGGCGAGAGACCGAUAGCGAACAAGUACAGUGAUGGAAAGAUGAAAAGAACUUUGAAAAGAGAGUGAAAAAGUACGUGAAAUUGUUGAAAGGGAAGGGCAUUUGAUCAGACAUGGUGUUUUGUGCCCUCUGCUCCUUGUGGGUAGGGGAAUCUCGCAUUUCACUGGGCCAGCAUCAGUUUUGGUGGCAGGAUAAAUCCAUAGGAAUGUAGCUUGCCUCGGUAAGUAUUAUAGCCUGUGGGAAUACUGCCAGCUGGGACUGAGGACUGCGACGUAAGUCAAGGAUGCUGGCAUAAUGGUAUAUCCCU